GGGAUUACAGGCUUGAGCCACCGUACCCAGCUGGAAUCUCAUGUUUAAUAUUCCAGACCUGUCACAAACACUAAGAGGUGUAGCCUCUUAGACUGUACAAGGCUAACGGCAGCCAGAGAGCUCUCACUGGAAGUGAAUUAAUCUCUAGGAUGGCCUAGAGGGAUGAGGGGACCCACAGAGCUCAAUGAUUUGGUGAAAAACUGAGGCUGGAGGCUGAUGGGAAUUUAUGCCCCCAUCCCACACAUAUGUAAUAAAGACCCACUUUGUGCCAGGCACUGUUUUAGGCCGUGAGGCACAGUAGUGAAAAAACGAGAUCAAAUCUCAGCCCUUGUUGUGCCGACACUGAUGUGGGAGGAUUCAAACUACAAACAAGAAAAAUACAGGCGUGGGCCACCGCACCUGGCCUACAGUAUGCUUCAUAGAAAUAUGAAAAGAAUGAGAGCAAGGUUGAGAUAGAAAGUAACAGGGCAUCCCUCCUGAGUAAAACAAUCCUGCCCCCUCACGCUCUCGUCUACCCUCCCGUGGGUCUCCCUGCUUCUGUCGUCUGCCAGAAACUGGCUGAGCCAAGUGCACUUGCAGACGCCAUCUGUUCUCCCUGGGAGUGGGGCCGGUGCCAGCGCCAGCAUCUGGACUCUUGGCAAGGAGCCCUGGAGCCCUGGAGCGAGGGAACUCCGGCCCCACAAAGGCCAGGGAAUCCUCCAGUCUGGUGAGACGGAGGGCUUCUGGGAAGGGAGGCCUAUACAAGGCUCCAUGAAGGAGGUGGAAGCUUGCAAGACGAUGAUAGUCUUGUAAUCAGUCCGAUGGAGAUGGAUGUAAAUAAUAAUAUUAAUAAACACCAUCAAAUGUGUUCAGAGUG
Molecule: long non-coding RNA, 856 nt
Filed under: Homo sapiens (human)
Lineage: Eukaryota; Metazoa; Chordata; Mammalia; Primates; Hominidae
Description: HSALNT0259998
Source: RNAcentral